AUUGAACGCUGGCGGCAGGCCUAACACAUGCAAGUCGAGCGGAUGAAGGGAGCUUGCUCCUGGAUUCAGCGGCGGACGGGUGAGUAAUGCCUAGGAAUCUGCCUGGUAGUGGGGGAUAACGUCCGGAAACGGGCGCUAAUACCGCAUACGUCCUGAGUGAGAAAGUGGGGGAUCUUCGGACCUCACGCUAUCAGAUGAGCCUAGGUCGGAUUAGCUAGUUGGUGGGGUAAAGGCCUACCAAGGCGACGAUCCGUAACUGGUCUGAGAGGAUGAUCAGUCACACUGGAACUGAGACACGGUCCAGACUCCUACGGGAGGCAGCAGUGGGGAAUAUUGGACAAAGGGCGAAAGCCUGAUCCAGCCAUGCCGCGUGUGUGAAGAAGGUCUUCGGAUUGUAAAGCACUUUAAGUUGGGAGGAAGAGCAGUAAGUUAAUACCUUGCUGUUUUGACGUUACCAACAGAGUAAGCACCGGCUAACUUCGUG
RNAcentral lists this ribosomal RNA (484 nucleotides) under uncultured bacterium. RNAcentral describes it as "partial 16S ribosomal RNA". It matches the Rfam family "Bacterial small subunit ribosomal RNA", at positions 30 to 507 of the family's 1533-position model. The record is from RNAcentral.